This 1046-nucleotide ribosomal RNA is filed under the name Metarhizium frigidum. RNAcentral describes it as "SSU rRNA". It matches the Rfam family "Eukaryotic small subunit ribosomal RNA", at positions 61 to 1115 of the family's 1831-position model. The record is from RNAcentral. Lineage: Eukaryota; Fungi; Ascomycota; Sordariomycetes; Hypocreales; Clavicipitaceae.
AAGUAUAAGCAAUUUAUACAGCGAAACUGCGAAUGGCUCAUUAUAUAAGUUAUCGUUUAUUUGAUAGUACCUUACUACUUGGAUAACCGUGGUAAUUCUAGAGCUAAUACAUGCUAAAAAUCCCGACUUCGGAAGGGAUGUAUUUAUUAGAUUAAAAACCAAUGCCCCUCGGGGCUCUCUGGUGAUUCAUAAUAACUUCUCGAAUCGCACGGCCUUGCGCCGGCGAUGGUUCAUUCAAAUUUCUUCCCUAUCAACUUUCGAUGUUUGGGUAGUGGCCAAACAUGGUUGCAACGGGUAACGGAGGGUUAGGGCUCGACCCCGGAGAAGGAGCCUGAGAAACGGCUACUACAUCCAAGGAAGGCAGCAGGCGCGCAAAUUACCCAAUCCCGAUUCGGGGAGGUAGUGACAAUAAAUACUGAUACAGGGCUCUUUCGGGUCUUGUAAUUGGAAUGAGUACAAUUUAAAUCCCUUAACGAGGAACAAUUGGAGGGCAAGUCUGGUGCCAGCAGCCGCGGUAAUUCCAGCUCCAAUAGCGUAUAUUAAAGUUGUUGUGGUUAAAAAGCUCGUAGUUGAACCUUGGGCCUGGCUGGCCGGUCCGCCUCACCGCGUGUCACUGGUCCGGCCGGGUCUUUCCCUCUGUGGAACCACAUGCCCUUCACUGGGCGUGGCGGGGAAACAGGACUUUUACUUUGAAAAAAUUAGAGUGCUCCAGGCAGGCCUAUGCUCGAAUACAUUAGCAUGGAAUAAUGAAAUAGGACGUGCGGUUCUAUUUUGUUGGUUUCUAGGACCGCCGUAAUGAUUAAUAGGGACAGUCGGGGGCAUCAGUAUUCAAUUGUCAGAGGUGAAAUUCUUGGAUUUAUUGAAGACUAACUACUGCGAAAGCAUUUGCCAAGGAUGUUUUCAUUAAUCAGGAACGAAAGUUAGGGGAUCGAAGACGAUCAGAUACCGUCGUAGUCUUAACCAUAAACUAUGCCGACUAGGGAUCGGACGAUGUUAUUUAGUUGACUCGUUCGGCACCUUACGAGAAAUCAAAGUGCUUGGGCUCC